AAUCAGCGCUGGCGGCGUGCCUAACACAUGCAAGUCGAACGCGAGAGGGGCUUCGGCCCCGAUUGAGUGGCGAACGGGUGGGUAACGCGUGGGUGACCUACCUUCGAGUGGGGAUAACGUACCCGAAAGGGACGCUAAUACCGCAUAACAUCCUGCUUUUGAAUGGGUGGAGAUCAAAGCCGGGGAUCGCAAGACCUGGCGCUUGAUGAGGGGCCCGCGUUUGAUUAGCUAG
Molecule: ribosomal RNA, 232 nt
Filed under: uncultured bacterium
Lineage: Bacteria
Description: partial 16S ribosomal RNA
Rfam family: Bacterial small subunit ribosomal RNA
Source: RNAcentral